AGGUGGUGCAUGGUUGUCGUCAGCUCGUGUCGUGAGAUGUUGGGUUAAGUCCCGCAACGAGCGCAACCCUCGACCUUAGUUGCCAGCAUUCAGUUGGGCACUCAAAGGUGACUGCCGGCUAAAAGUCGGAGGAAGGUGGGGAUGACGUCAAAUCAUCAUGCCCCUUAUGACCUGGGCUACACACGUGCUACAAUGGGCGGUACAAAGGGUCGCGAACCCGCGAGGGGGAGCCAAUCCCAAAAAGCCGCUCUCAGUUCGGAUUGCAGGCUGCAACUCGCCUGCAUGAAGCCGGAAUCGCUAGUAAUCGCGGAUCAGCAUGCCGCGGUGAAUACGUUCCCGGGCCUU
This 345-nucleotide ribosomal RNA is filed under the name uncultured Anoxybacillus sp. RNAcentral's name for it is "bacterial SSU rRNA". It matches the Rfam family "Bacterial small subunit ribosomal RNA", at positions 1036 to 1382 of the family's 1533-position model. Lineage: Bacteria; Bacillati; Bacillota; Bacilli; Caryophanales; Anoxybacillaceae. The record is from RNAcentral.